AAGGGUGUGGCUCAGUGAUAUAGCACAUGCUUAGCAUGUUUAAAGCCCUGGGUUUGAUCCCCAGCACUCUCU
This 72-nucleotide transfer RNA is filed under the name Urocitellus parryii (Arctic ground squirrel). RNAcentral's name for it is "Spermophilus parryii (Arctic ground squirrel) tRNA". It matches the Rfam family "tRNA". Rfam says of the family: Transfer RNA (tRNA) molecules are approximately 80 nucleotides in length. Their secondary structure includes four short double-helical elements and three loops (D, anti-codon, and T loops). Lineage: Eukaryota; Metazoa; Chordata; Mammalia; Rodentia; Sciuridae. The record is from Rfam by way of RNAcentral. RNAcentral also lists the same sequence under 1 other name.